GCUAGGAAUAUUGCGCAAUGGGCGAAAGCCUGACGCAGCGACGCCGCACGGGGGAUGAAGGCCUUCGGGUCGUAAACUCCUGAAAAUAGGACCGGCUAACUACGUGCCAGCAGCAGCGGUCAUACGUAGGGUCCAAACGUUACCCGGAUUUACUGGGCGUAAAGAGUUCGAAGGCGGUAUUAUAAGUCAGUAGUCAAAGGUCCUGGCCCAACCAGGAUAUCGCUAUUGAUACUGUAUUACUAAGAAGCAUCUAGGGGAUAGCAGAACUUAUGGUGUAGUGGUGAAAUGCGUUGAUAUCAUAAGGAAUACCAAGGGAGAAGUCAGCUAUCUGGGGAUGUCUUGACGCUCAAGAACGAAAGCGUGGGGAGCAAAACGGAUUAGAAACCCCUGUAGUCC
Molecule: ribosomal RNA, 396 nt
Filed under: uncultured bacterium
Lineage: Bacteria
Description: bacterial SSU rRNA
Rfam family: Bacterial small subunit ribosomal RNA
Source: RNAcentral